CAGCAGUCGCCACGGGAAUACGAAGGGGGCUAGCGUUGCUCGGAAUCACUGGGCGUAAAGGGUGCGUAGGCGGGUCUUUAAGUCAGGGGUGAAAUCCUGGAGCUCAACUCCAGAACUGCCUUUGAUACUGAAGAUCUUGAGUUCGGGAGAGGUGAGUGGAACUGCGAGUGUAGAGGUGAAAUUCGUAGAUAUUCGCAAGAACACCAGUGGCGAAGGCGGCUCACUGGCCCGAUACUGACGCUGAGGCACGAAAGCGUGGGGAGCAAACAGGAUUAGAUACCCCCGUAGUCCCUGUCUCUUAUAA
Molecule: ribosomal RNA, 304 nt
Filed under: uncultured bacterium
Lineage: Bacteria
Description: partial 16S ribosomal RNA
Rfam family: Bacterial small subunit ribosomal RNA
Source: RNAcentral